Molecule: small RNA, 97 nt
Filed under: Flavobacterium cauense R2A-7
Lineage: Bacteria; Pseudomonadati; Bacteroidota; Flavobacteriia; Flavobacteriales; Flavobacteriaceae
Description: Flavo-1 RNA
Rfam family: Flavo-1 RNA
Source: RNAcentral
GUUUUGCGUUAGGGAUAGGAGCGGCAUCCUUUUUUAAGGGGCGUUGAGGCUCUCGAAACGCCCCUUAAAAAAGAUAGAGCGGAUAGCCCGACCCUUG